AAGAAUGUUUAGUAAAAAUUUGUCUGAGCUUUUGUCGUCUAAGACGACAAAAGCUCAGACAAAUUUUUAGAACAUUCUA
Molecule: microRNA precursor, 79 nt
Filed under: Paramuricea clavata
Lineage: Eukaryota; Metazoa; Cnidaria; Anthozoa; Malacalcyonacea; Plexauridae
Source: RNAcentral